Danio rerio (zebrafish) is the source of this 117-nucleotide ribosomal RNA. The record is from Ensembl. NCBI's taxonomy places the organism in Eukaryota, Metazoa, Chordata, Actinopteri, Cypriniformes, Danionidae.
CUCAACAGCCAUGUCACCCUGCAGCCCAAGACCGGUUAUUCACUGAAGCUAAGCAGGGCUGAGCCUGGUCAGUACCUGGAUGGGAGACCACUUAGGAAAACUAGAUUGCUGUUGGAA